GGGUGACGAGCGCGCGGACGGGAGAGUAAUGUCUGGGAAACUGCCCGAUGGAGGGGGAUAACUACUGGAAACGGUAGCUAAUACCGCAUAACGUCUUCGGACCAAAGUGGGGGACCUUCGGGCCUCACACCAUCGGAUGUGCCCAGAUGGGAUUAGCUAGUAGGUGAGGUAAUGGCUCACCUAGGCGACGAUCCCUAGCUGGUCUGAGAGGAUGACCAGCCACACUGGAACUGAGACACGGUCCAGACUCCUACGGGAGGCAGCAGUGGGGAAUAUUGCACAAUGGGCGCAAGCCUGAUGCAGCCAUGCCGCGUGUGUGAAGAAGGCCUUCGGGUUGUAAAGCACUUUCAGCGAGGAGGAAGGGUUCGGUGUUAAUAGCACCGUUCAUUGACGUUACUCGCAGAAGAAGCACCGGCUAACUCCGUGCCAGCAGCCGCGGUAAUACGGAGGGUGCAAGCGUUAAUCGGAAUUACUGGGCGUAAAGCGCACGCAGGCGGUUUGUUAAGUCAGAUGUGAAAUCCCCGAGCUUAACUUGGGAACUGCAUUUGAAACUGGCAAGCUAGAGUCUUGUAGAGGGGGGUAGAAUUCCAGGUGUAGCGGUGAAAUGCGUAGAGAUCUGGAGGAAUACCGGUGGCGAAGGCGGCCCCUGGACAAAGACUGACGCUCAGUGCGAAAGCGUGGGGAGCAAACAGGAUUAGAUACCUGGUAGUCCACGCUGUAAACGAUGUCGACUUGGAGGUGUGCCCUUGAGGCGUGCUUCCGGAGCUAACGCGUUAAGUCGACCGCCUGGGGAGUACGCGCAAGGUUAAAACUCAAUGAUUGACGGGGCCCGCACAGCGGUGGAGCAUGUGGUUAAUUCGAUUGCACCGCGGAAGAGCUUACCUACUUCUUGACAUCCCCAGAAC
RNAcentral lists this ribosomal RNA (905 nucleotides) under uncultured bacterium. RNAcentral's name for it is "bacterial SSU rRNA". It matches the Rfam family "Bacterial small subunit ribosomal RNA", at positions 85 to 996 of the family's 1533-position model. The record is from RNAcentral.